RNAcentral lists this ribosomal RNA (530 nucleotides) under uncultured bacterium. RNAcentral describes it as "bacterial SSU rRNA". It matches the Rfam family "Bacterial small subunit ribosomal RNA", at positions 123 to 638 of the family's 1533-position model. The record is from RNAcentral.
AACCUGCCCAUCAGAAGGGGAUAACACUUGGAAACAGGUGCUAAUACCGUAUAACAAUCGAAACCGCAUGGUUUCGUUUUGAAAGGCGCUUUACGGUGCCGCUGAUGGAUGGACCCGCGGUGCAUUAGCUAGUUGGUGAGGUAACGGCUCACCAAGGCCACGAUGCAUAGCCGACCUGAGAGGGUGAUCGGCCACAUUGGGACUGAGACACGGCCCAAACUCCUACGGGAGGCAGCAGUAGGGAAUCUUCGGCAAUGGACGAAAGUCUGACCGAGCAACGCCGCGUGAGUGAAGAAGGUUUUCGGAUCGUAAAACUCUGUUGUUAGAGAAGAACAAGGGUGAGAGUAACUGUUCACCCCUUGACGGUAUCUAACCAGAAAGCCACGGCUAACUACGUGCCAGCAGCCGCGGUAAUACGUAGGUGGCAAGCGUUGUCCGGAUUUAUUGGGCGUAAAGCGAGCGCAGGCGGUUUCUUUAAGUCUGAUGUGAAAGCCCCCGGCUCAACCGGGGAGGGUCAUUGGAAACUGGGA